GAUGAACGCUAGCUACAGGCUUAACACAUGCAAGUCGAGGGGAAACGACAUCGAAAGCUUGCUUUUGAUGGGCGUCGACCGGCGCACGGGUGAGUAACGCGUAUCCAACCUGCCCAUCACUUGGGAAUAACCUUGCGAAAGUAAGACUAAUACCCAAUGAUAUCCCACGAAGGCAUCGGAAUGGGAUUAAAGAUUUAUCGGUGAUGGAUGGGGAUGCGUCUGAUUAGCUUGUUGGCGGGGUAACGGCCCACCAAGGCAACGAUCAGUAGGGGUUCUGAGAGGAAGGUCCCCCACAUUGGAACUGAGGCACGGUCCAAACUCCUACGGGAGGCAGCAGUGAGGAAUAUUGGUCAAUGGGCGAGAGCCUGAACCAGCCAAGUAGCGUGCAGGAAGACGGCCCUAUGGGUUGUAAACUGCUUUUAUAAGGGAAUAAAGUGGGUCACGUGUGACUUUUUGCAUGUACCUUAUGAAUAAGGACCGGCUAAUUCCGUG
RNAcentral lists this ribosomal RNA (492 nucleotides) under uncultured bacterium. RNAcentral's name for it is "partial 16S ribosomal RNA". It matches the Rfam family "Bacterial small subunit ribosomal RNA", at positions 28 to 507 of the family's 1533-position model. The record is from RNAcentral.